AAUCAACGCUGGCGGCGUGCCUCAGACAUGCAAGUCGAACGAUUAAAGCCCUCUUCGGAGAGUGUAUAGAGUGGCGCACGGGUGAGUAACACGUAAGUAAUCUACCUUCGAGUGGGGAAUAACGUCCGGAACGGACGCUAAUACCGCAUAAUGCAGCGGCAUCGCAAGAUGACAGUUGUUAAAGAUUUAUCGCUUGAAGAGGAGCUUGCGGCAGAUAGUCUAGUUGGUAAGGUAACGGCUUACCAAGGCUACGAUCUGUAUCGGUCUAAGAGGACGGUCGGACACACUGACACUGAAUAACGGGUCAGACUCCUAC
RNAcentral lists this ribosomal RNA (316 nucleotides) under uncultured bacterium. RNAcentral's name for it is "bacterial SSU rRNA". It matches the Rfam family "Bacterial small subunit ribosomal RNA", at positions 32 to 342 of the family's 1533-position model. The record is from RNAcentral.